This 501-nucleotide ribosomal RNA is filed under the name uncultured bacterium. RNAcentral describes it as "partial 16S ribosomal RNA". It matches the Rfam family "Bacterial small subunit ribosomal RNA", at positions 30 to 523 of the family's 1533-position model. The record is from RNAcentral.
AUUGAACGCUGGCGGCAGGCUUAACACAUGCAAGUCGAGCGGAGAGAGGUAGCUUGCUACUGAUCUUAGCGGCGGACGGGCGAGUAAUGCUUAGGAAUCUGCCUAUUAGUGGGGGACAACAUUUCGAAAGGAAUGCUAAUACCGCAUACGUCCUACGGGAGAAAGCAGGGGAUCUUCGGACCUUGCGCUAAUAGAUGAGCCUAAGUCGGAUUAGCUAGUUGGUGGGGUAAAGGCCUACCAAGGCGACGAUCUGUAGCGGGUCUGAGAGGAUGAUCCGCCACACUGGGACUGAGACACGGCCCAGACUCCUACGGGAGGCAGCAGUGGGGAAUAUUGGACAAUGGGCGGAAGCCUGAUCCAGCCAUGCCGCGUGUGUGAAGAAGGCCUUAUGGUUGUAAAGCACUUUAAGCGAGGAGGAGGCUACUUUAGUUAAUACCUAGAGAUAGUGGACGUUACUCGCAGAAUAAGCACCGGCUAACUCUGUGCCAGCAGCCGCCGUAA